This 1287-nucleotide ribosomal RNA is filed under the name uncultured Janthinobacterium sp. RNAcentral describes it as "bacterial SSU rRNA". It matches the Rfam family "Bacterial small subunit ribosomal RNA", at positions 134 to 1414 of the family's 1533-position model. Lineage: Bacteria; Pseudomonadati; Pseudomonadota; Betaproteobacteria; Burkholderiales; Oxalobacteraceae. The record is from RNAcentral.
GAGUGGGGGAUAACGUAGCGAAAGUUACGCUAAUACCGCAUACGAUCUAAGGAUGAAAGUGGGGGAUUCGCAAGAACCUCAUGCUCGUGGAGCGGCCGAUAUCUGAUUAGCUAGUUGGUAGGGUAAAAGCCUACCAAGGCAUCGAUCAGUAGCUGGUCUGAGAGGACGACCAGCCACACUGGAACUGAGACACGGUCCAGACUCCUACGGGAGGCAGCAGUGGGGAAUUUUGGACAAUGGGCGAAAGCCUGAUCCAGCAAUGCCGCGUGAGUGAAGAAGGCCUUCGGGUUGUAAAGCUCUUUUGUCAGGGAAGAAACGGUGAAAGCUAAUAUCUUUUGCUAAUGACGGUACCUGAAGAAUAAGCACCGGCUAACUACGUGCCAGCAGCCGCGGUAAUACGUAGGGUGCAAGCGUUAAUCGGAAUUACUGGGCGUAAAGCGUGCGCAGGCGGUUUUGUAAGUCUGAUGUGAAAUCCCCGGGCUCAACCUGGGAAUUGCAUUGGAGACUGCAAGGCUAGAAUCUGGCAGAGGGGGGUAGAAUUCCACGUGUAGCAGUGAAAUGCGUAGAUAUGUGGAGNGAACACCGAUGGCGAAGGCAGCCCCCUGGGUCAAGAUUGACGCUCAUGCACGAAAGCGUGGGGAGCAAACAGGAUUAGAUACCCUGGUAGUCCACGCCCUAAACGACGUCUACUAGUUGUCGGGUCUUAAUUGACUUGGUAACGCAGCUAACGCGUGAAGUAGACCGCCUGNGNGGANGUACGGUNCGCAAGAUUNAAAACUCAAAGGAAUUGACGGGGACCCGCACAAGCGGUGGAUGAUGUGGAUUAAUUCGAUGCAACGCGAAAAACCUUACCUACCCUUGACAUGGCUGGAAUCCUUGAGAGAUUGAGGAGUGCUCGAAAGAGAACCAGUACACAGGUGCUGCAUGGCUGUCGUCAGCUCGUGUCGUGAGAUGUUGGGUUAAGUCCCGCAACGAGCGCAACCCUUGUCAUUAGUUGCUACGAAAGGGCACUCUAAUGAGACUGCCGGUGACAAACCGGAGGAAGGUGGGGAUGACGUCAAGUCCUCAUGGCCCUUAUGGGUAGGGCUUCACACGUCAUACAAUGGUACAUACAGAGCGCCGCCAACCCGCGAGGGGGAGCUAAUCGCAGAAAGUGUAUCGUAGUCCGGAUUGUAGUCUGCAACUCGACUGCAUGAAGUUGGAAUCGCUAGUAAUCGCGGAUCAGCAUGUCGCGGUGAAUACGUUCCCGGGUCUUGUACACACCGCCCGUCACACCAUGGGAGCGGG